GCGAUUCCCUGACUGCGCGGACAAGCUCCCGCCGUACCAUCUGCAUGGAGAUGAGACACAUGCCCACCAGCAUCUCCUAACUAGGAUUAAUGAGGUGGCCGGCUCUGCGCCCGUCCAAAGGAGAUGUCAAUGGAGUUUAAUGUCGGAUGGACUGAGAUACAAUUCUGGACAGAGAGGCUGCGCCUAUGUGGGGCUGUUUUAGGAAUGAAAGAAGAAGAUGACAGCUCCGAAGUUGUGUGGAGGCCGGGAGCCAAUCUCUGAGACUCUUGCUUCUUCCUCUUCACUGAACAUAUCUCGCUGAUUGGUUGGGAUCUGAUAGCUGGGACCCCUAUGGAUCACAAUAACUGAAGACGAUAGUACCCCGAGUGAACUAAGUGGAAUUCCAAAUAUUGCCGAAAAUAGCACUUGGUUCGUCCCAUGGAGAAUUGAUGAAAAAUAUAAAAUUCUUCCCUUGGGUGGUUGUUUUUAUUUUUAUUUUUUCAGUAACUUUAGUAUGUGUAAC
Molecule: long non-coding RNA, 502 nt
Organism: Hyla sarda
Lineage: Eukaryota; Metazoa; Chordata; Amphibia; Anura; Hylidae
Exons: 3
Source: RefSeq, a predicted model, not a curated record